This 331-nucleotide long non-coding RNA is filed under the name Brassica napus (rape). Its description in RNAcentral is "long non-coding RNA (BNAP_LNC015637)". The record is from RNAcentral. Lineage: Eukaryota; Viridiplantae; Streptophyta; Magnoliopsida; Brassicales; Brassicaceae.
AGACUCAUCAGUUCUGGGUCAUGUGGGGUGGUUGGUUGAUUGACUUAGGAUCUGAUGGGCAUUGUUAGUCCAUGAGCUGGACUUGGUAUCACAUGCUGAUAAGGCAAAAGGAUAUGGGACAGUGCAUGAGCCGGUAAGGGCCAAUUGCAUGUCCUUAGCUGUUUGAAGACUUCUCAAAGGUUACUUGAGUCUGUGGGGAUGGUUGGCUGAAUGACUAAGUACCUAAGGGAGUUGUUUGUGUGUAAAGGAGCUGGACGCAGUAUAUGGCAGCUGUCCAUAGCUCGGUCUUAGCUCAGUUCGAGUGUGACAGCUCGAUCAGCUGGUCUAUAAG